Molecule: ribosomal RNA, 122 nt
Filed under: Thermococcus sp. 21S9
Lineage: Archaea; Methanobacteriati; Methanobacteriota; Thermococci; Thermococcales; Thermococcaceae
Source: RNAcentral
CACGGCGGCCAUAGCGGCGGGGUUACACCCGGUCUCGUUUCGACCCCGGAAGUUAAGCCCGCCUGCGUUCCCGGGUGUACUGCCCUCCGGGAGGGGGCGGGAAACCGGGAACGCCGCCGGCC